Molecule: non-coding RNA, 393 nt
Organism: Mus caroli (Ryukyu mouse)
Lineage: Eukaryota; Metazoa; Chordata; Mammalia; Rodentia; Muridae
Source: RefSeq, a predicted model, not a curated record
GAGUCCUCGAACUAAUUCUUCCCUUGCUGCCUCGGACCACCGGCGUGCCCCACCAUGUCAGACAGGGCAGGGGACACCAGCUCCGAGAUCACCACCAAGGAACUGACGGAGAAGAAGGAAGUUGUGGAAGAGGCAGAUAAUGGAAGAGCUGCACCUGCCAAUGGGAAUGUUCAAAAUGAGGAAAAUGGGGAGCAGGAGGCUGACAGUGAGGCAGAUGAAGAAGAGGAAGAAGGUGGGGAGGAAGAGGAGGAGGAGAAAGAAGAAGGUGACGGUGAGGAAAAGGAUGGAGAUGAAGAUGAGGAAGCUGAGGCACCUACGGGCAAGUGGGUAGUUGAGGGUGAUGAGGAUGACGAUGUCGACACCAAGAAGCAGAAGACGGAGGAGGAUGACUAG